Molecule: long non-coding RNA, 257 nt
Organism: Spea bombifrons (plains spadefoot toad)
Lineage: Eukaryota; Metazoa; Chordata; Amphibia; Anura; Pelobatidae
Exons: 2
Source: RefSeq, a predicted model, not a curated record
AGUCAUAGUUUUGUAUGUUAAGCUGGAGAGAUCAGAGAGGAAAGGGUGGCAGAGGAAGGAUCUCAGAUAGGGUGGAGAAUGAGGACAGGUGGAAUCUCAUAGUGGAGAAAGUAGACAUGGAGAAUCUCAGAAAGAGUGGAGAAAGUGGAUGGGGAGGACCUCAGACAGGGUGGAGAAUGUAGACACAAAGUAUCUCAGGCAAGAUGGAGAAUGUGGACAGGAAGGAUCUCAGACAAGAUGGAGAAUGUGGACAGGUG